Molecule: ribosomal RNA, 495 nt
Filed under: uncultured bacterium
Lineage: Bacteria
Description: partial 16S ribosomal RNA
Rfam family: Bacterial small subunit ribosomal RNA
Source: RNAcentral
GACGAACGCUGGCGGCGUGCCUAAUACAUGCAAGUAGAACGCUGAAGGAGGAGCUUGCUUCUCUGGAUGAGUUGCGAACGGGUGAGUAACGCGUAGGUAACCUGCCUGGUAGCGGGGGAUAACUAUUGGAACCGAUAGCUAAUACCGCAUAACAGUAGAUAUCGCAUGAUAUCUACUUGAAAGGUGCAAUUGCAUCACUACCAGAUGGACCUGCGUUGUAUUAGCUAGUUGGUGAGGUAACGGCUCACCAAGGCGACGAUACAUAGCCGACCUGAGAGGGUGAUCGGCCACACUGGGACUGAGACACGGCCCAGACUCCUACGGGAGGCAGCAGUAGGGAAUCUUCGGCAAUGGACGGAAGUCUGACCGAGCAACGCCGCGUGAGUGAAGAAGGUUUUCGGAUCGUAAAGCUCUGUUGUAAGAGAAGAACGAGUGUGAGAGUGGAAAGUUCACACUGUGACGGUAGCUUACCAGAAAGGGACGGCUAACUACGUG